UACAGAGGUCUCAAGCGUUGUUCGGAUUCAUUGGGCGUAAAGGGUGCGUAGGCGGCCUGUGCAAGUCAGUUGUGAAAUCUCCGGGCUUAACUCGGAACGGUCAACUGAUACUGCUCGGCUAGAGUGCGGAAGGGGCAACUGGAAUUCUUGGUGUAGCGGUGAAAUGCGUAGAUAUCGAGAGGAACACCUGCGGCGAAGGCGGGUAGCUGGGCCGACACUGACGCUGAGGCGCGAAAGCCAGGGGAGCGAACGGG
Molecule: ribosomal RNA, 254 nt
Filed under: uncultured prokaryote
Description: partial 16S ribosomal RNA
Rfam family: Bacterial small subunit ribosomal RNA
Source: RNAcentral